CCAGGAGAUUUUAAGAUUCCUCUUGCAUGUCAUAUGCUUUGUGGACUCCUGAAAAAUUAUCAUGUAGCCAUGCAAAUCCUUGGUGGAAACUCGGUUUUUGCUUUGAACCUAAUCUGCAUGCCCAUCAGGGACAUCUUGGGAACAAAAUUGGUAGGGUUACAGGACUAAGGGCUAAAAGAUGCUGCCAUGGAAGGAGAAAGG
This 201-nucleotide long non-coding RNA is filed under the name Elaeis guineensis (African oil palm). RNAcentral's name for it is "long non-coding RNA (EGUI_LNC028562)". The record is from RNAcentral. Lineage: Eukaryota; Viridiplantae; Streptophyta; Magnoliopsida; Arecales; Arecaceae.